Molecule: ribosomal RNA, 242 nt
Filed under: uncultured bacterium
Lineage: Bacteria
Description: partial 16S ribosomal RNA
Rfam family: Bacterial small subunit ribosomal RNA
Source: RNAcentral
CAUAGUGGCGCACGGGUGCGUAACGCGUAACCAACCUGCCCUUGACUGGGGGAUAGCCCGCCGAAAGGCGGAUUAAUACCGCAUAAGACCAUAGAGAGGCCUCUUUCCGUGGUUAAAGAUUAUUGGUCAAGGAUGGGGUUGCGUAGCAUUAGCUAGUUGGCGGGGUAACGGCCCACCAAGGCGACGAUGCUUAGGGGACCUGAGAGGGUGAUCCCCCACACUGGCACUGAGAUACGGGCCAG